UUUUUUUUUUUUUUUUUUUUUUUUUUUUUUCGAA
Molecule: non-coding RNA, 34 nt
Filed under: Alexandrium minutum
Lineage: Eukaryota; Dinophyceae; Gonyaulacales; Pyrocystaceae
Source: RNAcentral